UACAGAGGGUGCAAACGUUGCUCGGAAUUAUUGGGCGUAAAGCGCAUGUAGGCGGCACGGUAAGUUCGUUGUGAAAGCCCUUGGCUCAACCAAGGAAGUGCAGCGAAAACUGCCGAGCUCGAGUUCUGAAGAGGGUCGCGGAAUGGCCAGUGUAGAGGUGAAAUUCGUAGAUAUUGGCUAGAACACCAGUGGCGAAGGCGGCGACCUGGGAAGAUACUGACGCUGAGAUGCGAAAGCGUGGGGAGCAAACAGG
Molecule: ribosomal RNA, 253 nt
Filed under: uncultured bacterium
Lineage: Bacteria
Description: partial 16S ribosomal RNA
Rfam family: Bacterial small subunit ribosomal RNA
Source: RNAcentral